CCGCCCAAGGUAGGAUUGAUGAUUAGGGUGAAGUCGUAACAAGGUAUCCGUACGAGAACGUGCGGAUGGAUCACCUCCUUUCUAUGGAGUUAAUACUUUAUAGUAAUUAACUAGUUUUAAUGACAGUUAUGUUUAGUUUUCAGAGAUUAGUUUCUCUGACAAUAGCAAAUAAAUGUUAUUGGAAUUGUUCUUUGAAAACUGGAUAAUAGACAUCUAGUUAUUUUAAUCAAGUGAUUAAAAUAACAAUAAUUCAAAAUUUCUGUUAUUUUUAAAAAAUAACUAAAAUUUCACAGUUAUAUUUGUAAAUAAUUCUCAAAAACUGAUUUAAAAUCAGGUCAAAUAAUUUAUAAAACUUUGAAGUUACAAAGGG
RNAcentral lists this unclassified non-coding RNA (370 nucleotides) under Spiroplasma endosymbiont of Dolichopus ungulatus. RNAcentral describes it as "partial contains 16S ribosomal RNA, 16S-23S ribosomal RNA intergenic spacer, and 23S ribosomal RNA". The stretch from base 1 to 81 matches the Rfam family "Bacterial small subunit ribosomal RNA", at positions 1453 to 1533 of the family's 1533-position model. The record is from RNAcentral. Lineage: Bacteria; Bacillati; Mycoplasmatota; Mollicutes; Entomoplasmatales; Spiroplasmataceae.